This 544-nucleotide ribosomal RNA is filed under the name uncultured bacterium. RNAcentral's name for it is "bacterial SSU rRNA". It matches the Rfam family "Bacterial small subunit ribosomal RNA", at positions 777 to 1322 of the family's 1533-position model. The record is from RNAcentral.
AAUAGAUACCCGGGUAGUCCACGCCCUAAACGAUGUCAACUGGUUGUCGGGGAAGCAAUUCCUUGGUAACGAAGCUAACGCGUGAAGUUGACCGCCUGGGGAGUACGGCCGCAAGGUUAAAACUCAAAGGAAUUGACGGGGACCCGCACAAGCGGUGGAUUAUGUGGAUUAAUUCGAUGCAACGCGAAAAACCUUACCUACCCUUGACAUGUACGGAACCUCGCAGAGAUGUGAGGGUGCCCGAAAGGGAGCCGUAACACAGGUGCUGCAUGGCUGUCGUCAGCUCGUGUCGUGAGAUGUUGGGUUAAGUCCCGCAACGAGCGCAACCCUUGUCAUUAGUUGCUACAUUCAGUUGGGCACUCUAAUGAGACUGCCGGUGACAAACCGGAGGAAGGUGGGGAUGACGUCAAGUCCUCAUGGCCCUUAUGGGUAGGGCUUCACACGUAAUACAAUGGCCGGUACAGAGGGCUGCCAACCCGCGAGGGGGAGCUAAUCCCAGAAAGCCGGUCGUAGUCCGGAUUGUUCUCUGCAACUCGAGAGCAUG